UAACACGUAUCCAACCUGCCGUCUACUCUUGGACAGCCUUCUGAAAGGAAGAUUAAUACAAGAUGGCAUCAUGAGUCCACAUGUUCACAUGAUUAAAGGUAUUCCGGUAGACGAUGGGGAUGCGUUCCAUUAGAUAGUAGGCGGGGUAACGGCCCACCUAGUCUUCGAUGGAUAGGGGUUCUGAGAGGAAGGUCCCCCACAUUGGAACUGAGACACGGUCCAAACUCCUACGGGAGGCAGCAGUGAGGAAUAUUGGUCAAUGGGCGAGAGCCUGAACCAGCCAAGUAGCGUGAAGGAUGACUGCCCUAUGGGUUGUAAACUUCUUUUAUAAAGGAAUAAAGUCGGGUAUGGAUACCCGUUUGCAUGUACUUUAUGAAUAAGGAUCGGCUAACUCCGUGCCAGCAGCCGCGGUAAUACGGAGGAUCCGAGCGUUAUCCGGAUUUAUUGGGUUUAAAGGGAGCGUAGAUGGAUGUUUAAGUCAGUUGUGAAAGUUUGCGGCUCAACCGUAAAAUUGCAGUUGAUACUGGAUAUCUUGAGUGCAGUUGAGGCAGGCGGAAUUCGUGGUGUAGCGGUGAAAUGCUUAGAUAUCACGAAGAACUCCGAUUGCGAAGGCAGCCUGCUAAGCUGCAACUGACAUUGAGGCUCGAAAGUGUGGGUAUCAAACAGGAUUAGAUACCCUGGUAGUCCACACGGUAAACGAUGAAUACUCGCUGU
This 714-nucleotide ribosomal RNA is filed under the name uncultured bacterium. RNAcentral describes it as "bacterial SSU rRNA". It matches the Rfam family "Bacterial small subunit ribosomal RNA", at positions 111 to 823 of the family's 1533-position model. The record is from RNAcentral.